Molecule: non-coding RNA, 2390 nt
Organism: Pocillopora verrucosa
Lineage: Eukaryota; Metazoa; Cnidaria; Anthozoa; Scleractinia; Pocilloporidae
Source: RefSeq, a predicted model, not a curated record
GUAGAAGACACAAAUGGUAUGGCACAAAAUUGUUCCCUAGACACGCAGGAGACUGAUGUUUCUGAUACCUUUUUGAAAUUAAUACGUGAGGAGGCAAAAAAAGACGUCGAAGACGAGGUUGAAUCCUCUAAAGCCUGGGAAGAUCGUUUGGAAGUUGCCCUCCAAAAGAAUGAUGUUGUCUUGGUCUGGAGACUCAUCGCUGACUUCAGAGAAAAAAAUGAUAAGAAGACCCUUGACAACUUAAGCAAUGACUGUAGAACUAUCGCGCGCAAGGAGAACGUAAAGGAAGAUAACAACAUUAUAAGUAUCACACGUUGGAAGAUGUCGGAGACGUGGAAUAAAGUGUGUCAACUAUGCAAAUAUUUCAAAGAAUGGAUCUCUUGCAAGAGCACUGAAGACAAUAUCGAAGACACGACAACGGCACAAAACGAAGAAGAAAGGAGAUGGAUCCUCAUAUUGAGCAACCCGUUGUACAUAACCCUCGAAUGGUUGUGGGAGAUUGAUUCGAAUACCCGAAAUCAGCCGAAUGCGAAUGGGACAUCGGAGAUGGAGGCAGAUAAGCAAAGAAUAAAGCGUAAAGAAACUACAUUGUCUGGCAUUAUUGAGGCAUCCCUCCGUGACUCACUCCUGUUAGAGAAAAUCGCCGCGUACAAGUAUCAUCAAUACAGUCGAGACGACUACAUGAAUUGCGCGAGAGACCUUGAGAAAUUGGCCGUAGAUAUCGUUGCCCAAAUAGGUCCUUCCCAACUGAAACCGCUUCACCUCAUCAUGGAUAUCGAGGGCACAGGAUGUUUAUUGAAUGAGAAAAAGCCUGACAAUUUCAUGCCGAGUGUGAGCCUGGUGAGGUUCGGCGUGGAGAAACAACGAAAGUUGUUUGUGGCGAGCUACAACUGCCAGUAUGUACUCAACGAGGUGAUCAACCGUGGAUGGUGGGACUGGAGAGAUGAAGGUUUUGUCGUAAAGAGCAUUUGGUUCCUUUUUCAUUUUAUCUUCUCACUCGUGAUGAGCAUUCCUUAUCUACUGAUAAAACUGUUGAACGAAUACUGCGGUGCAUCCUCCUGCUGUUCAUGCUGGAAAUUGAGGAAAUUUUUCGAACAUCCUUACUCCAAGUUCAUCAACCAUCUCAUGUCAUACUUGACAUUUCUAUGCACGAUCAUUACCUCUUCCUUCCCGAGUGUAUACAGCAGAACCAGCUCAGGCCACUCGAUGUUACCACUUGAAAAAUGCAAUUACAGAAUGGAAGUUUUCAAGAACCCAAAUGUGGCUAGAAUGGAUUCACAAAGAGAAUGCUGUACCUGUGCCUACGAACCUUGUACUUGUACUUGCACUUGUACCUGUACUUGUACGUGUACUUGUAAGUGUACUUGUACUGUUUUUCUUCUGGCUUCCAUACAAGAUCAUCACAGCGGUUAAAAAGAAAGAAAAAUAGAAAGUUAAGACAGAGAUCAACCGUCCUAAGGGGAACUCCACCGACGAGAGUGAACUUUUGGUGAAUUCUCAAGAACUGGUUAGUUGUACUUUGUCUGUGAUACUUCAGAGUACGUGAGAUUUUUCCUUAGGGUAAAAGGUGAAAAGAAUUUAAAUUUGUUCUAGUGGAGCUUUUGCUUUACUAAGAAAAGAGAAUUUCUAAAAAAAAUUCAAUAGCACAGGAGCGCCUACUAUUCCCAUGACGUGCGAGUUUGGGUUGAAGUGUAGGAGAGGUAAUCUUUAUUCAUAAAUAUUUCAAAACUGGCGCGUUGAAAGUGUAAAAACAAAAACAAUUUAUUCAGGCGUAAGCUGCGCGUUUACUGAGUUAGGUAAAACCUUGAGAGUUUGAACAGAAACUCUCAUCUUUCGACCUCUCUAAACUGGGCGUGUGCUUCAUAUUUCAAUGAAAUCAUGUAGACACAUGAAGCAGCUAAUGGAUGGGGGGGGGGUGCUUUACUUAAGCUUUAUUCUAUUUGAAUAGAGAAAAUCUUAUGAGGGGGCUGGAGAGAGACAGGACAGUGACAGUGAACGGUCAGAUUCUAAGGUUCAACAGAGCGACGAUGACCAAGAUAAAUCGUGUUGUUCUUUCUGUAUAUGCCUCGAGAAUAUUUGCAAGAAGUCGCCACCUUCCACAACCGAGGAACGCAAGAAGGUAAUGGCAAAUCUGGUCGUGAAGUAUCUGAUGGAACGUUACCCAGAGAAGUUCCCACUAUCCGAAAUAAUCAAAGCUCAGUCUGAUGAUUAUGGAAGUGGACAGAGAAGUGGACAGACUUAAUGUCCAAACCAUCAGGAAAAGCAUGAAAUACGCUGUUUUGAAAUAAUCGCUCCACUAACACAAUAUAAUAUUUCAUAGGCAAGUGUCAUAUUUUAUCCCCUGCUUGUCCAGAUCAGUCUUGUAGUGUAGUGUGCAUGCUUCCUAAGUG